CCUANGGGUGGCAGCAGUCUAGAAGCUUCGGCAAUGGGGGCAACCCUGACCGAGCGACGCCGUGUGGAGGAUGAAGGCCUUCGGGUUGUAAACUCCUUUUGGUGGGGAAGAAAUGCAGGCGUGUUAAUACCACGCUUGUUUGACGGUACCCACAGAAUAAGCCCCGGCCAACUACGUGCCAGCAGCCGCGGUAAUACGUAGGGGGCAAACGUUGUCCGGAUUUACUGGGUGUAAAGGGUGCUCAGGCGGUCUUGUAAGUUAGAAGUGAAAUCCUAGAGCUUAACUCUGGAACUGCUUUUAAUACUGCAAGGCUUGAAUGUGGAAGAGGAGGAUGGAAUUUCUGGUGUAGCAGUGAAAUGCGUAGAUAUCAGAAAGAACACCAGUGGCGAAGGCGGUCCUCUGGUCCACUAUUGACGCUAAAGCACGAAAGCGUGGGGAGCAAACAGGAUUAGAUACCCUGNUANUC
Molecule: ribosomal RNA, 466 nt
Filed under: uncultured bacterium
Lineage: Bacteria
Description: bacterial SSU rRNA
Rfam family: Bacterial small subunit ribosomal RNA
Source: RNAcentral